UUAUCCAUCUUAACCAGGUGCGUUCGCGGCCCUCGAGGGUUCUCUCUCGGGUGGUAGGGGUAACACCCUCACGCGUCGCAUUUCUGAAUCCUUUUUUUACGAGCACCUUUCGUUCUCCUUCGGUGGGGCAACCUGCCGCUGGAACUUAACAAAACCUUUUUUUGCAUCUAGCAUUACCUGUUCUGAUACAAACAAUCGUUACAACUUUCAACAAUGGAUCUCUUGGCUCUGGCAUCGAUGAAGAACGCAGCGAAAUGCGAUAAGUAGUGUGAAUUGCAGAAUUCAGUGAAUCAUCGAAUCUUUGAACGCACAUUGCGCCCCUUGGUAUUCCAUGGGGCAUGCCUGUUCGAGCGUCAUCUACACCCUCAAGCUCUGCUUGGUGUUGGGCGUCUGUCCCGCCUCUGUGCGUGGACUCGCCCCAAAUGCAUUGGCAGCGGUCCUUGCCUCCUCUCGCGCAGCACAAUUGCGUUUCUUGAGGUGUGCGGCUCGCAUCCACAAAGCAACCAUCGUCUUUGACCUCGGAUCAGGUAGGGAUACCCGCUGAACUUAAGCAUAUCAAUAAGCGGAGGAAAAGAAACCAACAGGGAUUGCCCUAGUAACGGCGAGUGAAGCGGCAACAGCUCAAAUUUGAAAUCUGGCUCUCUUUGGGGGUCCGAGUUGUAAUUUGCAGAGGAUGCUUUGGUAUUGUCGGCGGUCUAAGUUCCUUGGAACAGGACAUCACAGAGGGUGAGAAUCCCGUACGUGGUCGCCUGCCUUUACCGUGUAAAGCUCCUUCGACGAGUCGAGUUGUUUGGGAAUGCAGCUCUAAAUGGGAGGUAAAUUUCUUCUAAAGCUAAAUACCGGCCAGAGACCGAUAGCGCACAAGUAGAGUGAUCGAAAGAUGAAAAGUACUUUGGAAAGAGAGUCAAAAAGCACGUGAAAUUGUUGAAAGGGAAGCGCUUGCAGCCAGACUUGCCCGCAGUUGCUCACCUAGGCUUUUGCCUGGGGCAUUCUUCUGCGGGCAGGCCAGCAUCAGUUUGGGCGGUUGGAUAAAGGCCUCUGUCACGUAUCUCCCUUCGGGGUGACCUUAUAGGGGAGGCGUAAUGCAACCAGCCCGGACUGAGGUCCGC
Molecule: ribosomal RNA, 1109 nt
Filed under: Dothideomycetes sp. B1a0284APD2CC547
Lineage: Eukaryota; Fungi; Ascomycota; Dothideomycetes
Description: eukaryotic LSU rRNA
Rfam family: Eukaryotic large subunit ribosomal RNA (bases 514-1109)
Source: RNAcentral